Molecule: long non-coding RNA, 1145 nt
Organism: Capra hircus (goat)
Lineage: Eukaryota; Metazoa; Chordata; Mammalia; Artiodactyla; Bovidae
Source: Ensembl
GAUGAGCUCAGAGUCCACUGCAGAACUGUCUGGAGGUGUCCUGCAGGGCAGCGAGGAGCCAAGAUGGUCCAGACAGAAGGAGGAAGGGCAGAGCAAUCUUGCGGAAUGCGACCGCAUUGGCUUGGUGCCUGGCAGGCAGAUUCCUUUCAUGGUGUCCAAAAUUUACAAACGACGGGUGAGCCCGUCCUGAAGUGAGCAACACCAUGAAGAAACAGCCACUGCUGACGCUCCGAGUAAGGCCACUGCUCCCACACUGCCUGCUUUUGCAAUCAGGCUAGCUAUCAGGGUCCUGUUUCCUGCUGACCUUAUUCUGCUGGGGAAGGUGGGCUGCAGCUGCUCCCCGAGCCAGGACCCCGACAGCUUCCCAGAUGUUGGUGCUCCAGGGGCGACGGCGCCUUCUCGGUCCCCACGCCCCCUGCAAGGCUCCUGCCUUCAGUGACCCUUUCUGAGACUCCCGUUGGUUUCAGGGUCGUUUGCUGCCACUCUGGUUCACAGCAGGUCGAGUGACAGGGUGGGAGAAACACAGGGGGACCCGGGGCUCACACCUAGGUGAAAGAGUGACAUGAAUGGAGAAGAAAAUGUAAAAAUUCCUCUGUGUUGGAGAGAGAUUAUGCCGGCUUACCCACUGGGUUCCUGCUGAGCGCAGUAGUAAUUGGAAUGUAUUCUUUGCAAAGUUUAUUGGGUCCUGGAGCGACUUGUUACUGAACUGGUCAAUUAAUCUAUUUUUUUGUUUUUUAAUGAGUUAGGGGAUUUCCUUCAGCAGAAACUCACCAGGAAGCAUGACCGAAUGCCCAGAGCUCAGGGAAAGGCUGGCCUUUCCUUCUCGAAAACCCUAUCCAACAACUGAAGGAGGAAAUGGACGCCUCCCGCUACAGGUGGCAAAUUGGGCUGAUGCGGGAGCCACAGAGGAAGGGUUUACCCUGCACAGAGAAGCGACGGUAAAGACUCAUUCCCGUGUUUCCCUCCUGCUCCUUCUGCCUCCUGACCAACCCUGGUGCCUCCUCAGGCAGAUCAGUGUGCAUCGAGGCCAUUGCUAAUUCCCUGGAGCGCAGGGGCCCUCUGAAUUCACUUCUCUGCCCGUGCUUCUAAGACCCACAUGAGAGGGUACCCAAGGUGGGGCACCUUCCGCUAUUCAAGAGGGCGCC